Molecule: long non-coding RNA, 1003 nt
Filed under: Meleagris gallopavo (turkey)
Lineage: Eukaryota; Metazoa; Chordata; Aves; Galliformes; Phasianidae
Description: lncRNA (ENSMGAG00000017912.1)
Source: RNAcentral
UACUAAUUCAAGAUAAGGUAUGUAAGUAAAGACAUCAUCUAGUUUUCAGACCAGCAACUGAAAAGGAAAAUUUCAGAAAGCUUAUAGGCACGCAUGAGCUUCUUCAGAUCUACAGUAGAAGCAGGAAGCUUCCAAGGCAGGUAAUGGAAGAGAAAAGCUGUCAGUUUGAUUAGCUGUGUAUCAGACUAUCUCUGAAGGAAAGGUGGUUGGUACCUAUCAAGUAGAAGGAUAUUAAUGGAACACAGAGAAGGAUGCUGAGGCAGUUAUCUCCUGAGGCAAUAUUGUGUAGAAAAAGGGGAACAUGGAGAAAUUAUCAGGAAGAGAAAUUGUAUGCCAUAAAAAGCCACUCCUACAAAGCCAUUGGCUUUGGGGUAGAAUAAAGUUACAGAAUUUAAUUUCUCAUAUUUGGCAGAAGUCUUGUAAGCUUCCUUAAUCCAGUUUUUGAACAAACAAGCAAGGAGAGUUUGUAUUUUUGGAAGGUUUUAAAAAGCCUUAACAUAGCUUACCUUUGCAUAAAUGGAGGGCAAAUGCAGCACACUUUCCCACUUCUUGAAUAUCCAGCACGUAUGUUAAAAAAACAGCCUCCAUAACCCCUCAUGUUCUCUUCGGGGAAGACUUAUAUCUACUUAGAAGAUCUGAAGAACAUGCAGCCAGGAUUGUGUCUUGUGCCCAAUGUCCCCACACUCCAUCCUUGGUGGAACUCUGCAUACGAAUGGGCUGCUCCUGGGCACAGGAAGAAUGGCUGUGUUGUUGGGGAGCUGGAUAUCCUGUGUUUUCUGAGCAUGUUCACAAAGACAGCCACAGUUCAGCAGAAAGUUGCACUGAGAACAAGAAAAAGCAGGGAAAAGUCAUUGUAAUUUAUUCCUAGUGCCGACAAGAGGGGAAAAUGAGGCAUUUACUGGUUGAGACAGACUCAGAAACUUGGAAGAUGCUCAACCACUCUUCGUACAGCUGAAGGGAUGUAGUUUUCCCUUGUUCUAACACUGACCUAUUCAUUUCUUAC